GCAGGACUAACACAUGCAGUCGAGCGCGCCCUUCGGGGUGAGCGGCGGACGGGUGAGUAACGCGUGGGAAUCUACCUGGUAGUGGGGGACAACAGUCGGAAACGACUGCUAAUACCGCAUACGCCCUUCGGGGGAAAGUGGGGGAUCUUCGGACCUCACGCUAUCAGAUGAGCCCGCGUCGGAUUAGCUUGUUGGUGAGGUAAAGGCUCACCAAGGCGAUGAUCCGUAGCUGGUCUGAGAGGAUGACCAGCCACACUGGGACUGAGACACGGCCCAGACUCCUACGGGAGGCAGCAGGGGGGAAUAUUGGACAAUGGGGGCAACCCUGAUCCAGCCAUGCCGCGUGUGUGAAGAAGGCCUUCGGGUUGUAAAGCACUUUCAGCUGUGAGGAAAGGCGAGUGGUUAAUACCCGCUUGCUGUGACGUUAACAGCAGAAGUAGGACCGGCUAACUCCGUGCCAGCAGCCGCGGUAAUACGGAGGGUCCGAGCGUUAAUCGGAAUUACUGGGCGUAAAGCGCGCGUAGGUGGUUCAGUCAGUCAGAUGUGAAAGCCCCGGGCUCAACCUGGGAACUGCACCUGAUACUGCUGAGCUAGAGUACGGUAGAGGGUAGUGGAAUUUCCGGUGUAGCGGUGAAAUGCGUAGAGAUCGGAAGGAACGCCAGUGGCGAAGCGACUACCUGGACCGAUACUGACACUGAGUGCGAAAGCGUGGGUAGCAAACAGGAUUAGAUACCCUGGUAGUCCACGCCGUAAACGAUGUCAACUAGCGCUGGGGGACUUGAUCCUUUAGUGGCGAAGCUUACGCGAUAAGCUGACCGCUGGGGAGUACGCCGCUAGGUUACAACUCAAUGAAUUGACCGAA
Molecule: ribosomal RNA, 862 nt
Filed under: uncultured bacterium
Lineage: Bacteria
Description: bacterial SSU rRNA
Rfam family: Bacterial small subunit ribosomal RNA
Source: RNAcentral